AUGAUCCCAUGGGUGAAAUUUGUGCCCUUUUUAGUGCUCAUUGAAGGAGUUCAAUGUCAAGUACAGCUGGUGGAGUCCGGAGGGGAUGUGAGAAGACCUGGGGAGUCCCUCCGUCUCUCCUGCCAAGUUUCUGGAUUCACCUUCAGCAGCUACGGGAUGAACUGGGUGAGACAGGCUCCAGGGAAAGGAAUGGAAUGGAUGGCCGACAUACAUACAGGCUCAUCCCCUUCCACAUUCUACUCGGACAAAGUCAAGGGACGCUUCUCCAUCUCCAGAGACGAUGCCAAAAGCCAGAUGUACCUGCAAAUGAACAGCCUCAAACCGGAGGACACAGCAGUCCAUUACUGUGCGAAACACACAUUGAGAGGAAGUGAAUCUGAUGCCCAACAAAAACCUUCCUCUCUUCUGAGCAGCUUUCCAAAUUGA
This is a non-coding RNA of Thamnophis elegans (Western terrestrial garter snake), 426 nucleotides long. NCBI's taxonomy places the organism in Eukaryota, Metazoa, Chordata, Lepidosauria, Squamata, Natricidae. The record is from the annotation of a RefSeq genome assembly.